UUGAAGAAAAAUCAGUGCAGCUUUGGCGAGAAAGCGACCCCUGAAGAUCAUUCCUCAUCGAAGAACCCAUCGGCAGCCCUUCCCGUCGGUGUUACCCCCACCUCUGCAUCGUCUUCUCUAAAUGACCCCUUAUGGAAAGACCUCCCUUUAUAGGAGUGGAGACUCUUGGGACAGAUUUUAUUUUAGCCAAAAAUCUAUCCAAAAUGAUAGAUUUUUUAACCCAAAAUCUGUCCAAAACCAGAACUAUGUCCAUUGAAAAGUUUGUCUUACCAACUGUGAGCACGUGAUUUUUAUCCUAUAUGAAUUCCUCCUAUAAAUACAAGAAAAAUACUUUUUCUCAUUUUUACAAUUUUGUAGGAUUUUGUGAUAAUUUGUAUGCAUGUGUAUUUAACUCACGAAAUGUACAAAAAUAUCUUGCAUAGCAUUUAGGGUUUAUCUUUACAUUUCAGGUUAAUUAAUAAAUUAGUUAUUUUAUAAAAAAUGGAAAAAUAAAAAUUAAAAAAAAUGGCUCAUUUUUACAUUUUAGCCUUUUUAUAUUAUUAGUAAUUUCUUUUUUCUUAAUUUAGAGGUAAUUGACUUUCAUGAAUUUCUUAGUAGGUAAUUAACUUAAUUUUACAUCUUAGUUUAAUUUAAGUUUUUUUAUUUAAUCAAAAUGAGGAAAAGAAAUCUUGGAUAUUUGAUCUUGAAAUAAAAGGCUAGAAUUGGGCCAAAAUCAUAUUAAAAUUCCAGCCCAAUGCAAUUUCUCUUUUAAACCCAACCCAAAUCAACCUCUACCCAACCCCAAACCGGGCCGACCCGACCCGACCCAAUACCCAAACCCAUUUCACAACCUAAAAAACCUAGACCUAAGAUACACACAGCAAGAUACACGCUGAUACAAUUGAGGAAAAAUCAGUGCAGCUUUGGCGAGAAAGCGACCCCUGAAGAUCAUUCCUCAUCGAAGAACCCAUUGGCAGCCCUUCCCGUCGGCGUUACCCCCACCUCUGCAUCGUCUUCUCUAAAUGACCCCUUAUGGAAAGACCUCCCUUUAUAGGAGAGGAGACUCUUGGGAUAGUUUUAUUUUAGCCAAAAAUCUAUCCAAAAUGAUCGAUUUUUUAACCCAAAAUCUGUCCAAAACCAGAACUAUGUCCAUUGAACAGUUUGUCUUACCAACUGUGAGCACGUGAUUUUUGCCCUAUAUGAAUUCCUGCUAUAAAUACAAGAAAAAUAAUUUUUCUCAUUUUUACAAUUUUGUAGGAUUUUGUGAUAAUUUGUAUGCUUGUGUAUUUAACUCACGAAAUGUACAAAAAUAUCUUGCAUAACAUUUAGGGUUUAUCUUUACAUUUCAGGUUAAUUAAUAAAUUAGUUGUUUUAUAAAAAAUGGAAAAAUAAAAAUUAAAAAAAAUUGCUCAUUUUUACAUUUUAGCCUUUUUAUAUUAUUAGUAAUUUCUUUUUUCUUAAUUUAGAGGUAAUUGACUUUCAUGAAUUUCUUAGUAGGUAAUUAACUUAAUUUUACAUCUUAGUUUAAUUUAAGUUUUUUUAUUAAUCAUGAAUUUCUUAGUAGGUAAUUAACUUAAUUUUACAUCUUAGUUUAAUUUAAGUUUUUUUAUUUAAUCAAAAUGAGGAAAAGAAAUCUUGGAUAGUUGAUCUUGAAAUAAAAGGCUAGAAUUGGGCCAAAAUCAUAUUAAAAUUCCAGCCCAAUGCAAUUUCUCUUUUAAACCCAACCCAAAUCAACCUCUACCCAACCCCAAACCGGGCCGACCCGACCCGACCCAAUACCCAAACCCAUUUCACAACCUAAAAAACCUAGACCUAAGAUACACACAACAAGAUACACGCUAAUACAAUUGAAGAAAAAUCAGUGCAGCUUUGGCGAGAAAGCGACCCCUGAAGAUCAUUCCUCAUCGAAGAACCCAUCGGCAGCCCUAAUACAAUUGAAGAAAAAUCAGUGCAGCUUCGGCGAGAAAGCGACCCCUGAAGAUCAUACCUCAUCGAAGAACCAAUCAGCAGCCCUUCCCAUCGGCGUUACCCCCACCUCUGCAUCGUCUUCUCUAAAUGACCCCUUAUGGAAAGACCUCCCUUUAUAGGAGUGGAGACUCUUGGGACAGAUUUUAUUUUAGCCAAAAAUCUAUCCAAAAUGAUAGAUUUUUUAACCCAAAAUCUGUCCAAAACCAGAACUAUGUCCAUUGAAAAGUUUGUCUUACCAACUGUGAGCACGUGAUUUUUAUCCUAUAUGAAUUCCUCCUAUAAAUACAAGAAAAAUACUUUUUCUCAUUUUUACAAUUUUGUAGGAUUUUGUGAUAAUUUGUAUGCAUGUGUAUUUAACUCACGAAAUGUACAAAAAUAUCUUGCAUAGCAUUUAGGGUUUAUCUUUACAUUUCAGGUUAAUUAAUAAAUUAGUUAUUUUAUAAAAAAUGGAAAAAUAAAAAUUAAAAAAAAUGGCUCAUUUUUACAUUUUAGCCUUUUUAUAUUAUUAGUAAUUUCUUUUUUCUUAAUUUAGAGGUAAUUGACUUUCAUGAAUUUCUUAGUAGGUAAUUAACUUAAUUUUACAUCUUAGUUUAAUUUAAGUUUUUUUAUUAAUCAAGUAGGUAAUUAACUUAAUUUUACAUCUUAGUUUAAUUUAAGUUUUUUUAUUUAAUCAAAAUGAGGAAAAGAAAUCUUGGAUAUUUGAUCUUGAAAUAAAAGGCUAGAAUUGGACCAAAAUCAUAUUAAAAUUCCAGCCCAAUGCAAUUUCUCUUUUAAACCCAACCCAAAUCAACCUCUACCCAACCCCAAACCGGGCCGACACGACCCGACCCAAUACCCAAACCCAUUUCACAACCUAAAAAACCUAGACCUAAGAUACACACAGCAAGAUACACGCUGAUACAAUUGAGGAAAAAUCAGUGCAGCUUUGGCGAGAAAGCGACCCCUGAAGAUCAUUCCUCAUCGAAGAACCCAUUGGCAGCCCUUCCCGUCGGCGUUACCCCCACCUCUGCAUCGUCUUCUCUAAAUGACCCCUUAUGGAAAGACCUCCCUUUAUAGGAGUGGAGACUCUUGGGACAGAUUUUAUUUUAGCCAAAAAUCUAUCCAAAAUGAUAGAUUUUUUAACCCAAAAUCUGUCCAAAACCAGAACUAUGUCCAUUGAAAAGUUUGUCUUACCAACUGUGAGCACGUGAUUUUUAUCCUAUAUGAAUUCCUCCUAUAAAUACAAGAAAAAUACUUUUUCUCAUUUUUACAAUUUUGUAGGAUUUUGUGAUAAUUUGUAUGCAUGUGUAUUUAACUCACGAAAUGUACAAAAAUAUCUUGCAUAGCAUUUAGGGUUUAUCUUUACAUUUCAGGUUAAUUAAUAAAUUAGUUAUUUUAUAAAAAAUGGAAAAAUAAAAAUUAAAAAAAAUGGCUCAUUUUUACAUUUUAGCCUUUUUAUAUUAUUAGUAAUUUCUUUUUUCUUAAUUUAGAGGUAAUUGACUUUCAUGAAUUUCUUAGUAGGUAAUUAACUUAAUUUUACAUCUUAGUUUAAUUUAAGUUUUUUUAUUUAAUCAAAAUGAGGAAAAGAAAUCUUGGAUAUUUGAUCUUGAAAUAAAAGGCUAGAAUUGGACCAAAAUCAUAUUAAAAUUCCAGCCCAAUGCAAUUUCUCUUUUAAACCCAACCCAAAUCAACCUCUACCCAACCCCAAACCGGGCCGACACGACCCGACCCAAUACCCAAACCCAUUUCACAACCUAAAAAACCUAGACCUAAGAUACACACAGCAAGAUACACGCUGAUACAAUUGAAGAAAAAUCAGUGCAGCUUUGGCGAGAAAGCGACCCCUGAAGAUCAUUCCUCAUCGAAGAACCCAUCGGCAGCCCUUCCCGUCGGUGUUACCCCCACCUCUGCAUCGUCUUCUCUAAAUGACCCCUGCUCUUUUUAUCGACCAUUAACAUAGACAGUAACAGAGACGACCCCCCUGAAGCUUCUUCCUCUUGACCCACCUUCUGAACCUCUUGAAAUCGCUUUAAGAAGCAAGCGUAGUAGAGAACAAAAGACCACCCUUCUAGCGCUAACUCCUCUUCGUUUAACAACUGAAAUCAGUGACCAUUUCCACCACAACUAGAUCUUGUUACACGAGAGAUCUGGCCAAUUUUGAGGUCUGGUCUUAAUUACACUGAGGUUACCGGUGAAGCUCUGGUCCUGCAGGUCGAGGAUGUCAUCUGGUCAGUGCUUUUAGGAAUUGUUGGAACUGUAAAAGUUCGAUCUUCUUUCAGAUUAUAUGUAAGUGCUUGAAUUUAUAAUUUGUUUGUUUUGGUAUUUAACUUGUUCUGAAUAGUUAUUUCAUUACUACUUAUUCUUCGAUUUUGUUUUGCUCUACUAUUUUGUUUGAAUACUUGGUUUGGUAUCAUUUCAUGUGAGAUUGCGCUUAAUUCCUCCACGAAGGUAUGAUAUUAUAAAAUGGUAUAUGCUUCAGUAGAUGAAGUUUGAGACACUGAGUAAAGACAAAAUUUGAAUGUCUCUGUUGUCUUAUUUGUGCCUGUGAUGAGCAGCAAUACUGGAAGGGACUCACAUAUUGGUAAAUCCCACAUAAUGAAUUCGAUUACGCUCCACUACUGUCAUGAAUAAUUCUCCAGAUGCUUGGAUCAUAUGCAGUUCAAACAUAUUGUUGUGAAAGCUGCUAAUGUGGUCUUUAUGAAUAUAUAUUGAGUAUUUGAGUUUUAUGUUUUAUUUAGUUAUCAUUUCUCGUUAUUUCCUUCUUUUCAGUUGGGAAUUUGCACAAAUUGAAUUGUGUCAUUUUUUGCCUCUUAGUUGUUUAGGAAAAACUUACUCUUGGCAUGUUACUUUGUAGCUAGCUAGUGUGACAGACCAUCAAUUUUUGGUGUUAUGGGUUACUUAGCAACGUAAAUAUUGUGUUUCCUUUUACUGCUCUAUUCCUUCAUCUUGGCCUUUGAUUUUCGUUGUGAUGUGAUUGUAAAUAUCAUUACGCAUUACUGUUAAAGCGAGAAUACGAAGAGAUGGGGUAUUUGUUUUUCAUGAAAUGUGCUUGUGUUUUUUUCAUUUGGAAUGAAAAUAUUAAUUGUACUAGAUUUUGACUAUUCUGUCUCUUAAGUGCAAGCGAUAUUUCUUCAAUUCACGCCUACCGCAUAUGGGUAGGCGAACCUUUAGGCACAUAAUUAGAUCAUCACAACAACAGGUAAUGUUCCCAUGGC
This 5141-nucleotide long non-coding RNA is filed under the name Nicotiana benthamiana. Its description in RNAcentral is "long non-coding RNA (NBEN_LNC028099)". The record is from RNAcentral. Lineage: Eukaryota; Viridiplantae; Streptophyta; Magnoliopsida; Solanales; Solanaceae.